This 817-nucleotide unclassified non-coding RNA is filed under the name Hevea brasiliensis (rubber tree). The record is from RNAcentral. Lineage: Eukaryota; Viridiplantae; Streptophyta; Magnoliopsida; Malpighiales; Euphorbiaceae.
UCAUGACAUAAACAAGUACACAAAUGACUGUACAGAUCGUUCAUCAAUUGCACAGCUCGUGAGGCUGAUUGCAGCCAUUACACGACAAUUAAUUUCAUACAUCAACUGAUACGCUAAGAGCAUUCAGUUCGACGUGUUGCUUACCCUCUUGCUGCGGAUGAACUAUAACAGUAGCACAAGCCUCGGCCCUAGAGGAUGGAGAGUCCCCGACAACUCGAGAUAGUGCUAUCGAACUCACCAAUGGCUUCCCAUUACACAACUCGUCUAGUUUAUUUUGGUCAUUGGAGAUGAUCUCCCAUUCCUCUUUCAGAGCUGCUACUUCCAGACCCUUCUCCACGUGACUUUCGAUCUCGAAACCUGUUGGCAAGAUCACGUAGUCGUUCAGUGGGUCGUAGAAGGGGUCGGGGUCACCUGCUUUGAGCCAAUGCUUGAGGCUUCGGAACAAACGGUGGUCUCUAAGAACGCGCUGAUGCUCACCAGGGACCCCAAUCCUUGCAACUGCAUCAAGUCCAUCGGCCAUUGCCGAUUCCACUGGAACUGUCCCAUCACCAUCAACGCAAACAUACUUGGGCUCAAUGUAUCGCAGUUUAUGUAAAUCAGCGACAGGAUUUUCUGCAUCUCCAUAGCAAAUAGUAUGUGGUGUCUCAAGACCAGUUGCAUAUAUAUUGUAAAACUUGACUUGAGGAGGUAGUUUAGCACUCUUUAAAAUUUCCCUGGUCUCGUUUGCCCAUUUCAAAAUCUCCAUAUUAAAUGGCAGGGGAAUAUCCACUCCAUCAUGAAGAAUCGUGUUUGUUGAAAGAGAUUUUGUCAGUAUUUG